AUGUCUCUCCCCAGCUGUCCUGUGUGGGGUGUGGCCGUGGACUGGCCGCUGUGCUUCUGUUGACCUAGCCGGGCAGUAGUGGAGGCAGCCCUGUCUCCUGGUUUUUUAACCUCUGUGAAGCAGGAGCUCUGAGCUGCUUGGCGCUCCCAGGCAGGAGGAGCACAGACAACAAGUGGCGUCCCUCUUAUUUCCCAGAAGGGGUAACAGGGUCUCCCCCACUAAACCGUGCAGGUGUCAGGGGAUAAAAGAAGUGCAAAAGCACAGGCUUGGAGGGGAUGCCUUGUGUUAAGUUGCUUUGCUCCCAUCAGAAUCGAGGAGACGUGGCGCCUGUGGCAGAAGUUUUUAGACGACUAUUCUCGCUUUGAGGACUGGCUCAAGUCAGCUGAGAGGACGGCGGCCUGCCCAAAUUCCUCAGAGGUGUUGUACACGAGUGCCAAAGAGGAACUGAAGAGGUUUGAGGCCUUUCAGCGGCAGAUUCACGAGCGGCUCACUCAGCUGGAGCUCAUCAACAAGCAGUACCGGCGGCUGGCCCGGGAGAACCGCACAGACACGGCCAGCAGGCUGAAGCAGAUGGUCCACGAGGGCAACCAGCGCUGGGACAACCUUCAGAGGCGGGUCACAGCCGUCCUGCGGAGACUCAGGCAUUUCACCAACCAGAGGGAAGAAUUUGAGGGCACCAGGGAGAGCAUUCUGGUGUGGCUCACAGAGAUGGACCUGCAGCUGACCAACGUGGAGCACUUCUCAGAGAGUGACGCCGAUGACAAGAUGCGCCAACUGAAUGGCUUCCAACAGGAAAUUACAUUAAAUACCAACAAGAUUGAUCAGCUCAUUGUGUUUGGGGAGCAGCUGAUUCAGAAGAGCGAGCCCCUGGAUGCUGUGCUGAUUGAGGAUGAGCUGGAGGAACUCCACCGCUACUGCCAGGAGGUGUUUGGAAGGGUCUCCCGGUUCCACCGGCGGCUCACCUCCUGCACUCCGGGCUUGGAAGAUGAAAAGGAGGCCUCUGAGAAUGAAACAGACAUGGAAGACCCCAGAGAAAUCCAGACUGAUUCCUGGCGUAAACGGGGAGAGAGCGAGGAACCGUCAUCUCCUCAGUCCCUGUGUCAUCUAGUGGCCCCGGGGCACGAGCGGUCUGGCUGCGAGACCCCUGUCAGCGUGGACUCCAUCCCCCUGGAGUGGGACCACACAGGCGACGUGGGGGGCUCCUCCUCUCACGAAGAGGACGAGGAGGGCCCAUACUACAGCGCACUGUCAGGUAAAUCCAUUUCGGAUGGCCACUCGUGGCAUGUUCCCGACAGCCCUUCCUGUCCCGAGCAUCACUACAAGCAAAUGGAAGGUGACAGGAAUGUUCCACCUGUUCCCCCUGCGUCCAGCACCCCUUAUAAACCACCCUAUGGAAAGCUACUAUUACCUCCAGGCACGGAUGGUGGCAAAGAAGGCCCGCGAGUCCUGAAUGGCAGCCCACAGCAGGAAGACGGGGGACUGGCCGGUAUCACAGAGCAGCAGUCAGGUGCCUUCGACAGAUGGGAGAUGAUUCAAGCACAGGAGCUUCACAAUAAGCUCAAAAUAAAACAAAAUUUGCAACAGCUGAACUCUGAUAUCAGUGCCAUCACUACUUGGCUGAAAAAAACUGAAGCAGAGCUGGAAAUGUUAAAGAUGGCAAAGCCUCCCUCUGAUAUCCAGGAAAUAGAACUGAGAGUGAAGAGACUGCAGGAGAUACUGAAAGCCUUUGACACUUACAAGGCAUUAGUGGUCUCUGUCAACGUGAGCAGCAAGGAAUUUCUGCAAACCGAGAGCCCCGAAUCCACAGAGCUCCAAAGUAGACUCCGCCAGCUGAGCCUGCUCUGGGAAGCAGCACAGGGCGCAGUGGACAGCUGGAGAGGGGGCUUACGACAGUCGCUCAUGCAGUGCCAGGACUUCCACCAGUUGAGUCAAAAUCUGCUGCUGUGGUUAGCGAGUGCCGAGAACCGGAGGCAGAAGGCUCAUGUCACCGAUCCAAAGGCAGACCCCCGGGCUCUCCUAGAGUGUCAGAGGGAACUAAUGCAACUGGAAAAGGAGCUGGUAGAACGUCAACCUCAAGUGGACAUGUUACAGGAGAUUUCAAACAGCCUUCUCAUUAAGGGAUAUGGAGAAGACUAUAUUGAAGCUGAAGAAAAGGUGCAUGUUAUUGAGAAGAAACUCAAACAGUUACGGGAGCAAGUGUCCCAAGAUUUAAUGGCCUUGCAGGGAACCCAGAACCCAGCCCCACCCCUGCCCAGCUUCGACGAGGUAGACUCGGGGGACCAGCCUCCUGCAACAUCCGUGCCAGCUCCCCGAGCAAAGCAGUUCAGAGCAGUGAGAACUACAGAAGGCGAGGAGGAGACAGAGAGCAGGGUCCCCGGCAGCACACGGCCACAGCGCUCCUUCCUCUCAAGGGUGAUCCGGGCAGCCCUACCCCUGCAGCUGCUCCUCCUGCUGCUGCUGCUCCUGGCCUGCCUGCUGCCCUCCUCCGAAGAAGACUACAGCUGCACUCAGGCCAACAACUUUGCCCGGUCCUUUUACCCCAUGCUGAGGUACACCAAUGGGCCACCCCCCACAUAGAGGGCAUAGCUGGCCACAGUGCUACACCACCUGCCUGAUUGCCAAGGGUGCCCAGCACGUGGCCCCAGACCAAUCUGAGUGACUUAGUGUUGGCAAGGUCCCGGGACCUGUGCAGACUUCUUCUGGGCUUACCCAGCACGGGCUCCCUGGAGCCCAGGGCAGCUUUCAAAUUGUGUUCCUCCCCAGGAGCAGGGAACCUGUGCGGCAGGUGCCCCGGGUAUUUUGGCAGAACUAGUUGAUUCGUUUAGGGAUCUCUGGAAAUGUCAGUUUCCUGAAGAGCCAAGCACUUUGUGAAUUCUGGUUUAUUUGUAAAACAGCAUUAUUAUAAUGUAGGUAUGGUCAAUGAGCAGUGGUGUCCAUCACAUAUAUUAUAGAAGCAAGCGAGCACAUUCCACCCUAGAAAUGGUUCAGAAACUCAUAGGCACCCUUAGCUGAUGGAAACAAUCAUAUUUAAUAUGCUUAGAAUCAGUUUUACUCCAAUCAGCUGGCAAUUUUGAGCUACCGGUUAUACACCAAAAUGUUCUGUUCAGUACCUAGCUCUGCUCUUUUAUAUUGCUUUAAAUUUUUAAAGAAAUUAUAUUGCAUGGAUGUGGUUAUUUGUGCAUAUUUUUUAACAAUGCCCAAUCUGUAUGAAUAAUGUAAACUUCGAUUUUUUUUUAAAAAAAUUAGAUUUUAGCUGGAGCUUUUGACUAAUGUACAGUAAAUGCCAAACUACCGACUUGAUAGGGAUGUUUUUGUAAGUUAAUUUUCUAAGACUUUUUCACAUCCAAAGUGAUGCUUUGGGUUUUAACUGUUUGGCCACGGCGGGGGUGGGGGGCGGGGGUUGGUACAGAAACUUGAAGCUGUUUGUGAUAUGUACAACUCAGAUGUUUCUCAUUAAAAAACAAAAUUAGCC
Molecule: small RNA, 3472 nt
Filed under: Pan troglodytes (chimpanzee)
Lineage: Eukaryota; Metazoa; Chordata; Mammalia; Primates; Hominidae
Description: retained intron
Source: RNAcentral